AUACGGAGGGUGCGAGCGUUAAUCGGAAUUACUGGGCGUAAAGGGUGCGUAGGCGGCUUGAUAAGUCGGAUGUGAAAGCCCCGGGCUUAACCUGGGAAUUGCAUUCGAUACUGUCAGGCUAGAGUAUGUCAGAGGUUGGCGGAAUUCCUAGUGUAGCGGUGAAAUGCGUAGAUAUCAGGAGGAACACCAGUGGCGAAGGCGGCUAACUGGGGCAAUACUGACGCUGAGGCACGAAAGCGUGGGGAGCAAACAGGAUUAGAUACCCCAGUAGUCC
RNAcentral lists this ribosomal RNA (274 nucleotides) under uncultured bacterium. RNAcentral's name for it is "partial 16S ribosomal RNA". It matches the Rfam family "Bacterial small subunit ribosomal RNA", at positions 523 to 796 of the family's 1533-position model. The record is from RNAcentral.